This 455-nucleotide long non-coding RNA is filed under the name Brassica rapa (field mustard). RNAcentral's name for it is "long non-coding RNA (BRAP_LNC007395)". The record is from RNAcentral. Lineage: Eukaryota; Viridiplantae; Streptophyta; Magnoliopsida; Brassicales; Brassicaceae.
GAUCCCCAAAAUAAUCAGACAGGAAGAAAAAAGGUUUAAAACUUUUGUUUUCUCGCAGUAUAAAAAAGUCCACGCUGCAGAUAUGUAAAACAAUCUCUCUCUCUUGCUACCUCUCUCUCUACUCUUUUAUUUUUACUUGUGUAAAGUGAAAUUCAUUUUUUAAUUAAAACUAAUUAAAUGGAUUUCUUUAUUUGAGUAGUGCGCAGAAAUGAAGAACAAGUUUCGAAGUUGUACCAGUUACCAAAUUGAUCUUUUGAUUUGAAUUUAGGUUACACCAAAAGCGUCGGUAUUGGAUUGUACGAUGAACCUGGAGUGAAGAGGCAAAGGACAAGGCCACAGCUACUCCACGUUGUCUGAACUUGGAAAUGACAGCUGGCAUUCUGUUUUGAUAGCCCAUUCUGGUCUUAAUGGGCUGUCGUUAAAAAGCCUACUAAUCAUAUGAUAUGUCUGCGAUA